GACGAACGCUGGCGGCGUGCUUAACACAUGCAAGUCGAACGGAAAGGCCCUGCUUUUGUGGGGUGCUCGAGUGGCGAACGGGUGAGUAACACGUGAGUAACCUGCCCUUGACUUUGGGAUAACUUCAGGAAACUGGGGCUAAUACCGGAUAGGAGCUCCUGCUGCAUGGUGGGGGUUGGAAAGUUUCGGCGGUUGGGGAUACUCGCGGCUUAUCAGCUUGUUGGUGGGGUAGUGGCUUACCAAGGCUUUGACGGGUAGCCGGCCUGAGAGGGUGACCGGCCACAUUGGGACUGAGAUACGGCCCAGACUCCUACGGGAGGCAGCAGUGGGGAAUAUUGCACAAUGGGCGGAAGCCUGAUGCAGCAACGCCGCGUGCGGGAUGACGGCCUUCGGGUUGUAAACCGCUUUCGCCUGUGACGAAGCGUGAGUGACGGUAAUGGGUAAAGAAGCACCGGCUAACUACGUG
This 466-nucleotide ribosomal RNA is filed under the name uncultured bacterium. Its description in RNAcentral is "partial 16S ribosomal RNA". It matches the Rfam family "Bacterial small subunit ribosomal RNA", at positions 28 to 507 of the family's 1533-position model. The record is from RNAcentral.